Molecule: non-coding RNA, 30 nt
Filed under: Rattus norvegicus (Norway rat)
Lineage: Eukaryota; Metazoa; Chordata; Mammalia; Rodentia; Muridae
Source: RNAcentral
UCUUGGGACAAUGUAAAGCAAUGGCAGGCA